GCACGGCGUCGCUGGCCAUGUCCUCGCGCCGCCCGCCAGGGGUCCCCGCGCGGAGGGAGGGGCAACAGGAGGAGCGCGCGUGCGCCCCGCGCGGGGCGGGGAAGGGGCGGGCGCGGCGCGAGCCCCCGCCAGCGCGCGGCCCGCUCCGGCCUGCUCCGCUCGGGCCCUGCCUGGCCAGGCCGCCGCGUCCGCGCGCCGCGCCCUCCGGCCCCAGCGGCCGCCGGGCCGGGUCACGUGACGGCCGAGGUCGGCGCCCGGGGAGGGGGCGGGGCCGAGGGGGCGCGGCUCCCGGCGGCCCCCGGGGCUGCGGGGUCUCGGCUGCAGGGCGGUCCCCGUUCCCGGCCGAAUUCACCCCGUCUGCUCCCCCCGCCCUUGCCUCUUUCUGCAUCCUCACCCUGCCCAGGUGUCCCCCAUCUGAGCGCGCGGGAACCCGAAGAAAAGACUGAGCCACGUUAAGGCGGGGGUUGGCAGAGGCCUUUGAGCCUCCCGGGACCCCUCUAAACACAAAAACAAUCCAUCUCCCCCCUCGUUCGCAAGCUCGGGGCUCCUGGGAAGGACCAUCCUUUGCCUGGAGACAAUCUCUGGACAGAUUUGGGUUCAAAUCCCAGCAUCUCAUGCCUUGGGGGAGCCCCACGUCCAAAGAGCGCCUCAUCUGUGAAGUGGGAUUUACCCUACCCACCCCUCGGUGUUGAUGAAAUUGAGACCGUGCGUGCCAAGUGUUGAGAACACAGUAAGCGCUUAAUAAACGUUAGCGGCUGUCAUGCUUAAUGUUAUUGCCGUUGUUACAACUGACUCGCUGUGGGCCCGAAGGAUUCUGUGGCUGCUGAGCCUCAGUCUUCCCCGCUGUAAAAUGUAGACCGUACUCUUCUUCAGAGCUGUUGCAUGCAGGUGGCGUUCCAUAAAUGCAGCAGGCCCGUGCCCAAGCGGAGGAGAGUGGAGGUCUCUUCGGAGCUUCUCCAGGGUCUCUGGAGUCUCUAGAGCGUGCAGCUUGGCUCGAGGCCGACCCCGCACUCCCUUGGAAACCCGGAUGUCAGCUCCCCAAGGAUCAUUGUCUGUCUUGUCCUCUGCUGAGUCCCUGGCUCCUACAACAGUGUCUAGCGUGUGGAAAGGGCUCAGUUGUUGUUUCUGUAGCGGGGGAGGGGAGUGAACGUGGGAAGGUGAACACACGUGACCUCCAUUUUAACUAUGAGGUAUGUCUUUUUAUUUAAAAAAAUUUUUU
Long non-coding RNA from Acinonyx jubatus (cheetah), 1219 nucleotides. RefSeq lists it as uncharacterized. The transcript is spliced from 3 exons. The record is from RefSeq and is a predicted model, not a curated record. NCBI's taxonomy places the organism in Eukaryota, Metazoa, Chordata, Mammalia, Carnivora, Felidae.